Molecule: ribosomal RNA, 838 nt
Filed under: Chryseobacterium sp. M_Sw_oHS_06/10_10_2(1)
Lineage: Bacteria; Pseudomonadati; Bacteroidota; Flavobacteriia; Flavobacteriales; Weeksellaceae
Description: bacterial SSU rRNA
Rfam family: Bacterial small subunit ribosomal RNA
Source: RNAcentral
GAACGCUAGCGGGAGGCCUAACACAUGCAAGCCGAGCGGUAUUUGUCUUUCGGGACAGAGAGAGCGGCGUACGGGUGCGGAACACGUGUGCAACCUGCCUUUAUCAGGGGGAUAGCCUUUCGAAAGGAAGAUUAAUACCCCAUAAUAUAUUGAAUGGCAUCAUUUAAUAUUGAAAACUCCGGUGGAUAGAGAUGGGCACGCGCAAGAUUAGAUAGUUGGUGAGGUAACGGCUCACCAAGUCAGUGAUCUUUAGGGGGCCUGAGAGGGUGAUCCCCCACACUGGUACUGAGACACGGACCAGACUCCUACGGGAGGCAGCAGUGAGGAAUAUUGGACAAUGGGUGCGAGCCUGAUCCAGCCAUCCCGCGUGAAGGACGACGGUUCUAUGGAUUGUAAACUUCUUUUAUACAGGGAUAAACCUACUUACGUGUAAGUAGCUGAAGGUACUGUAUGAAUAAGCACCGGCUAACUCCGUGCCAGCAGCCGCGGUAAUACGGAGGGUGCAAGCGUUAUCCGGAUUUAUUGGGUUUAAAGGGUCCGUAGGCGGAUCUGUAAGUCAGUGGUGAAAUCUCACAGCUUAACUGUGAAACUGCCAUUGAUACUGCAGGUCUUGAGUAAAGUAGAAGUGGCUGGAAUAAGUAGUGUAGCGGUGAAAUGCAUAGAUAUUACUUAGAACACCAAUUGCGAAGGCAGGUCACUAUGUUUUAACUGACGCUGAUGGACGAAAGCGUGGGGAGCGAACAGGAUUAGAUACCCUGGUAGUCCACGCCGUAAACGAUGCUAACUCGUUUUUGGGUUUUCGGAUUCAGAGACUAAGCGAAAGUGAUAAGUAGCCACC